AUGGUUGGCGAGAAAGUAGUCGGAGAUGCGGUGCCACGCCAUGUAGGCGGUGACAGCGCCAUCAGUGAUGAGCUCGAGGAGAGGAUCGGCGAGGGUGAGGAGGAUCCAGAGUGCCAUGCGGUGGUCGAUGGCGAGCCAAGCGGCAUCGGCAUUAGCAGGUGGGGGGCGAUCGACGUGAUCCUCGACGCGGUAUUGGCUAAGAACGAUGCGGAAGAAAGUGCGCCACUUAGAGAAAUUCUUCCCCGCCGAAUCCAGCUUGAAUUUGAUGUAGCUGGAGAUGUGGUCGUUGUGGUUGGUGAGCGGAGGCUGGGAGGAGGAGGGAGCGGCGUUGAGGGGAAAGUUAGUGGCGGCGGUGGUGGAGAGAGGGGCCAGGGUGGUGGAGGGGAGGGGAGAUGUCCCAGAGUGAACCGACGAGGAGGAGGAGGAGGAGUGGGUGGCCGGGGAGGUACAAAAAUAAUUAUUGGGGUCGCUAUUGGGGUGGUCCUCUUACUUUUGGCUCUCAUUGCAUACUUCACUUCCUACAAAUUUAAGCAUUGGAGCACACAAAGUUUGAAAUGGAAGUAUUUCAAGAAAAAACAUGGGCAAUUAUUGCAACAGUUGGUACCUCAAAGGGCUGAUAUUGCAGAGAAAAUGAUCAUAACCUUGGAAGGUCUAGAGAAAGCAACAAACAAUUUCGAUAAAGCGCAUGAACUCGGUAGAGGCGGGCAUGCUAUCGUCUAUAAAGGGAUUUUGUCAGACCUCCAUAUUGUGGCCAUCAAGAAACCAACAAUGGUGGGUCAAAGGGAGAUUGAUGAGUUUAUUAAUGAGGUUGCUAUCCUAUCACAAAUCAACCACAGGAAUAUUGUAAAACUAUAUGGUUGUUGUCUUGAAACAGAAGUACCAUUGUUGGUCUAUGAGUUCAUAUCCAAUGGAACUCUUUAUGGUCAUCUCCAUGUUGAAGGACCAAGAUCAUUACCAUGGGAUGCUAGGCUACGUAUAGCAACUGAAAUAGCAAAAUCUCUAGCCUAUCUUCACUCAACAGCUAUAAUACCUAUCAUCCACGGAGAUGUCAAGCCUGCUAACAUACUUCUGGACGAUACACUAACAGCAAAGAUAGCAGACUUUGGCGCUUCAAGGUAUAUUUCAUUGGACAAAGUAGGGUUAACAAGAAUGGUCCAAGGUACAAUAGGAUAUAUGGACCCGAUGUACUUCCGCACGUGCCGCCUCACGGUGAAAAGUGAUGUUUAUAGCUUCGGUGUUAUGCUUAUAGAGUUGAUGACGAGAAAGAAGCCAUUCAACUAUAUGGAUUCUGAAGGCAAUGGCCUCGUGGCACAUUUUUCUACCUUAUUUGCAGAAGGCAGUCUGUCACAAGUAUUAGAUCCACAAGUUAUGGAUGAGGGGGGCAAUAAAAUAGAAGAAAUUGCCGGAAUUGCGAUAUCAUGUGUAAAAUUAAGAGGGGAGGAACGACCAACCAUGAGACAAGUGGAGAUGAGGCUGGAAGCCGCUCAACCACACGAGGAAUUUGAAACAAUUUCUCCAUCAACUAGAGAUGGAGGAAGCAGCGAGGGAUUGACAAGUAGGCAAUAUAGCAUAGAAGAAGAGUACAUGUUGUCUGCAAGAUAUCCACGGUAG
Molecule: ribosomal RNA, 1611 nt
Filed under: Triticum aestivum (bread wheat)
Lineage: Eukaryota; Viridiplantae; Streptophyta; Magnoliopsida; Poales; Poaceae
Description: partial small subunit ribosomal RNA
Source: RNAcentral